Molecule: RNA transcript, 824 nt
Organism: Prunus dulcis (almond)
Lineage: Eukaryota; Viridiplantae; Streptophyta; Magnoliopsida; Rosales; Rosaceae
Exons: 5
Source: RefSeq, a predicted model, not a curated record
CAUCGACCUGUGAUUCAUUCAACUUAUUGAUUCUUUACACUGCUACUCUAUCCCCCGAAACAAGAAAUGGCUUCCUUCUGCAGAUCAGCUCUAAUGGCCGGCUCGAGAUCCAUAGCUCGCUCAAGAACCCUCAGCCAGAGCUCCCUAAACUCCCUAAACCCUGCAGCCAUGUCGUCUCCAUUUGCUUCGGCCACCAGAACCAUCCCUUGCGCUACAAGCUUUGUUUCGGUAUUGGGAAGCAUGGAAUCAAUGAUGCCACUUCACAGUGCCAUUGCUUCUGCUCGGCUCAAAUCCAACAUUGCUGUCGAUUCCACCUGCUGGAGCUGCCUUUCUCAAGGUCUUGCAUCACCGUUGUGACAAGGCCCGCUGGCUAUGUGAGAAGCUGCAGUUCCUCGGUGAUAAAGACUCCAGGCUCAGGUCAUUUCAUGUUUUUGAACCAAAUUGGCUUGCAUAUUGGUUACUCCAUCCUCUGCCUUCUUUCUUUUUCCUUUGCUUUCUGGCAAUUGCAUUGUGUGAGGGCUUCUCGAUUCAAGCUGAACAUGAACCGAAUUUAACCAAGCAACCUGGCCUUGGUUCGAUCAAGUUGAACUGUACUGCGCUCCCCCUUAUGUGCUAAUGGCAUAUAAAUUGCAGUUUCUUAAAAGGAUUUCUGUGAUCAAUUUUGGGUUUUACUUCAACUUUUAGACAUUUGUGAUGGGUGAUGGCACAUGAUGUAACGAUUUCCGUGAAAACCUCUCGCAUCAUUGUAAUUCCAUUGUUUCGGUUGAUUAAGAUAACAUCCAUCUAGUGUGACUAGCAAGUUUCGAUCAAGUUCAUAAGAUUCA